Molecule: long non-coding RNA, 1680 nt
Filed under: Physcomitrium patens
Lineage: Eukaryota; Viridiplantae; Streptophyta; Bryopsida; Funariales; Funariaceae
Description: long non-coding RNA (PPAT_LNC000224)
Source: RNAcentral
AAGUUUUACAAAUUUAAUUUGUAAAUCUCUCAACCCACGUAUAUUUUCAUUGAUGUCCAUUUCUUCUUUCUUUGUUGUAGUCAUUUAAGGUUGAAUCAAAGAUGUUAGAUGGAUAGUAGACAUUUUUAGCUUAUGUCUUUGUAAUGGUCUUUGAAUAUCCACCCUAUCUUUUCUCUUUUCUUUUUUUGCCAACAACCCCACUACCUCUCCCACUUCCUUCCAAUUUUUUGUCAAUCCUUCAUCUUUUUUUUUAUCUUCAAGUAAGAUUUUUAAAUUUUCAUACAAUUCUUCAUUAGCUGCUUGAAGAAAGAAUUUUCCUUUACUUAGAUUCAAUAAUUACCUUUCCAUCUUUGAUAAAGAAGAAUAUUGCUUUUCAAACUCCUUUAAUAAUUUUUUUGCUAAAAGAUCCUUCUCUGGCCUUUCAACCCAUUCAAAAAAUGAUUUCUUUGUAACCCAAAAAUUAUCUUCUAAGAAAAAUUCAUCCUUCAAUACUUGAGAUAAUUUUUUCUAUGAACCUUCAGAAUGUUGUAUAAUAGAUCUUACAUAAUUUCUUAUCUCUGGUACAAUAGCUAGUUUAAAUAAUUGAACCAUCUAUUUUUUUGAAACAAGCUUCAAUUCCAUUUCUUUUACAUAACACCUUAAAUAAUUUGUAAUGUCCUUCUCUUCAAAUUGACCAAUCUUAUCCACAACUACUUAUAAUGCUUUGUUUGCCAUAUCCUCUUUGCAUUCUUUAAUUUGUUGUUGUUGCAUAAAUAAGGUAAAAGCUUCAAAUAUGCUUGCGGAAUUGAGAUCAAAAUACAUACCUUGUCCUCCACUAGUACCUCUACUUGUAGCUCUAAUUAAAGCACCAUCCAUAGCCCCUUCUUCAAUUCUCUUGCCUUCUUUCUCCAUAAUUCAAAUAACCUGAGAAAAAUUUCCAAAUACCUUCCAUCUCAAGCUUUUUAUGUCCAAUUCACCAAAUAUAUUAUAUUACAAGAAGUAUUGCUUGAAAAUGCACUGGACACCUAGUUGUGGAAAGUAGAAUGGAAAUUACAAUAACAGAAUCUUAUUUCUAAUAGAAUACUAAAUAAACUCUAAUUAAAUCUUAAUAAUAUUAAAUAAGCUUUAAUCAAAUUCAAAAGAAACCUCAAAGAAAUUACAAAAGAAACAAUAAGAAAUCUUAAAGGAGUUUAAAGAUAAUCCACAAUAAAUCUUAAAAGAAUUUUUACAAAGUCAUAAAAAAUAUUAAAAUAAUCACAAUAUAUCUUAAAUAAAACUCAAUCAAGUUCUAGUUUAAUCCUAAUUGAAAUCCUAAUAGACUUCAAUCAAAUCCUAGACAAAUCCUAAGUCCUAAAUAACACCUUAAAUAAAUCCUAAACUUUAAACUAAAUCCUAGACAAAUCCUAAAUUCUAAAUUCAAUCCUAAUUAAAUCCUAUCCAAAUCCUUAUCAAAUCCUAAUCAAAACUUAAAUCCUAAACCAAAUUCUAAUCGAAUCCUAAAUCCUAAACCAAAUCUUAGACGAUUCCUAAAUCUUAAAUCAAAUCCUAAUCAAAUUUCAAUCCUAAAUCAAAUCAUAGACAAAUCCUAAAUCUUAAACUAAACUCUAACCAAAUCCUAAAUUCUAAACCAAAAAUUAAAGUAGUUUAGAACCUCAAUAUCUUUUGAUUAAACCAUUGAUCUUAUUUGAAAUUUUACACACC